ACUCCCUUCGUUCCUAUUUAUAAGACGUCUUGGCAAGUCAAUUUGGCUUGCCAAAACGUCUUAUAAAUAGGAACGGAGGGAAUAC
Non-coding RNA from Brachypodium distachyon (stiff brome), 85 nucleotides. NCBI's taxonomy places the organism in Eukaryota, Viridiplantae, Streptophyta, Magnoliopsida, Poales, Poaceae. The record is from RefSeq and is marked provisional.